UCCUCGUUAGUACAGUGGUGAGUAUCCCGCCUGUCACGCGGGAGACCGGGGUUCGAUUCCCCGACGGGGAG
Molecule: transfer RNA, 71 nt
Filed under: Xiphophorus maculatus (southern platyfish)
Lineage: Eukaryota; Metazoa; Chordata; Actinopteri; Cyprinodontiformes; Poeciliidae
Rfam family: tRNA
About the family: Transfer RNA (tRNA) molecules are approximately 80 nucleotides in length. Their secondary structure includes four short double-helical elements and three loops (D, anti-codon, and T loops). Further hydrogen bonds mediate the characteristic L-shaped molecular structure. tRNAs have two regions of fundamental functional importance: the anti-codon, which is responsible for specific mRNA codon recognition, and the 3' end, to which the tRNAs corresponding amino acid is attached (by aminoacyl-tRNA synthetases). tRNAs cope with the degeneracy of the genetic code in two manners: having more than one tRNA (with a specific anti-codon) for a particular amino acid; and 'wobble' base-pairing, i.e. permitting non-standard base-pairing at the 3rd anti-codon position.
Source: Rfam by way of RNAcentral